CGGUAACAGGAAGCAGCUUGCUGCUUCGCUGACGAGUGGCGGACGGGUGAGUAAUGUCUGGGAAACUGCCUGAUGGAGGGGGAUAACUACUGGAAACGGUAGCUAAUACCGCAUAACGUCGCAAGACCAAAGAGGGGGACCUUCGGGCCUCUUGCCAUCGGAUGUGCCCAGAUGGGAUUAGCUAGUAGGUGGGGUAACGGCUCACCUAGGCGACGAUCCCUAGCUGGUCUGAGAGGAUGACCAGCCACACUGGAACUGAGACACGGUCCAGACUCCUACGGGAGGCAGCAGUGGGGAAUAUUGCACAAUGGGCGCAAGCCUGAUGCAGCCAUGCCGCGUGUAUGAAGAAGGCCUUCGGGUUGUAAAGUACUUUCAGCGGGGAGGAAGGGAGUAAAGUUAAUACCUUUGCUCAUUGACGUUACCCGCAGAAGAAGCACCGGCUAACUCCGUGCCAGCAGCCGCGGUAAUACGGAGGGUGCAAGCGUUAAUCGGAAUUACUGGGCGUAAAGCGCACGCAGGCGGUUUGUUAAGUCAGAUGUGAAAUCCCCGGGCUCAACCUGGGAACUGCAUCUGAUACUGGCAAGCUUGAGUCUCGUAGAGGGGGGUAGAAUUCCAGGUGUAGCGGUGAAAUGCGUAGAGAUCUGGAGGAAUACCGGUGGCGAAGGCGGCCCCCUGGACGAAGACUGACGCU
RNAcentral lists this ribosomal RNA (691 nucleotides) under uncultured Pseudomonadota bacterium. RNAcentral's name for it is "bacterial SSU rRNA". It matches the Rfam family "Bacterial small subunit ribosomal RNA", at positions 67 to 747 of the family's 1533-position model. The record is from RNAcentral. Lineage: Bacteria; Pseudomonadati; Pseudomonadota.